GGCUAAGUAACAAGAGGGGAUUGGAAGCUGCAGUGGAUGCAGCAGUUACCUUUCUAAGCAAGGCAGUGAAACCGGUUAUGAUUGGAGGACCAAAGCUAAGAGUAGCCAAAGCUUGUGAUGCUUUUGUUGAAUUGGCUGAUUCUUCUGGUUAUGCAAUGGCAGUGAUGCCAUCAGCAAAAGGGCUUGUCGCAGAACAACACCCUCACUACCGGUUAUGAUUGGAGGGCCAAAGCUAAGAGUAGCCAAAGCUUGUGAUGCUUUUGUUGAAUUGGCUGAUUCUUCUGGUUAUGCAAUGGCAGUGAUGCCAUCAGCAAAAGGGCUAGUCGCAGAACAACACCCUCACUUCAUUGGCACUUACUGGGGUGCAGUAGGCACAUCCUAUUGCGCAGAAAUUGUUGAAUCAGCUGAUGCUUACUUGUUUGCUGGUCCAAUCUUUAAUGACUACAGUUCUGUUGGUUACUCACUUCUGAUCAAGAAAGAGAAAUCGAUCAUCGUGCAGUCUGAUAGAGUUGUAAUUGGCAAUGGACCAGCUUUUGGUUGUGUCCUAAUGAAAGAUUUCCUAUCUGAACUAGCAAAGAAAAUAAAGAAAAAUGAAACUGCUUAUGAAAACUAUCGUCGGAUAUUUGUGCCUGAAGGCACACCUCUAAAAUCAGAGCCUAAUGAACCACUAAGGGUAAAUGUUCUGUUCCAGCAUAUACAGAAGAUGCUUUCAGAUGAAACAGCAGUGAUUGCUGAGACAGGGGAUUCUUGGUUCAAUUGCCAGAAGCUUAAGUUACCAGAAGGAUGUGGGUAUGUGACUAAUAACAGCUUAUCAGCCUGGUAUCCAUUUUAUUUACAGACAUUAGAAGAAAAAAGUUCGUGUUGCAGGUAUGAAUUCCAGAUGCAAUAUGGCUCCAUUGGUUGGUCUGUUGGUGCUACCUUGGGCUAUGCGCAAUCUAUACCUAAAAAAUGUGUCAUUUCUUGCAUCGGCGAUGGAAGUUUUCAGGUACUAAACGACAAACACUUUCCUGGGAAAUGGUACCUAAAAAACGCGUCAUAUCUUGCAUCGGUGAUGGAAGUUUUCAGGU
This 1067-nucleotide long non-coding RNA is filed under the name Nicotiana benthamiana. RNAcentral describes it as "long non-coding RNA (NBEN_LNC019101)". Lineage: Eukaryota; Viridiplantae; Streptophyta; Magnoliopsida; Solanales; Solanaceae. The record is from RNAcentral.